GCGCAGGGGCGCCGGGUUUUCCCGGCUGAGAUGCCGCUAAUGGAGGCGGCAGUACCCUUUAACCUGAUCCGGAUCAUGCCGGCGUAGGAAGCGACAAAU
RNAcentral lists this non-coding RNA (99 nucleotides) under bovine gut metagenome. Its description in RNAcentral is "TPP riboswitch (THI element)". It matches the Rfam family "TPP riboswitch aptamer (THI element)", at positions 8 to 91 of the family's 105-position model. Rfam says of the family: Vitamin B(1) in its active form thiamin pyrophosphate (TPP) is an essential coenzyme that is synthesised by coupling of pyrimidine and thiazole moieties in bacteria. The previously detected thiamin-regulatory element, thi box was extended, resulting in a new, highly conserved RNA secondary structure, the THI element, which is widely distributed in eubacteria and also occurs in some archaea. Analysis of operon structures identified a large number of new candidate thiamin-regulated genes, mostly transporters, in various prokaryotic organisms. The record is from RNAcentral.